UGCUCUCUUCCGUAGCAGACGCUGCUCGCUUCGUCGCUGCCACCGACGCUCGCUAUGCGGAAUGUUACCAAGCUGUUUUCGCCCGGAGUUCAGAAGGAGCUGUUGCGAAGGAACACGCUUUUUAAAAUGUCAGCGAGUAUAUGAACCCUCCACGCCGCAGCUGGAGCGAUGAGUCGGUCCUCUGGAUUUCACGCUCGUGGCAAGACUCCGGCUACGUCAAUUAAAAAGAAAACGAAUAAAAGAGAGAAAGAAACCAGCGUCGCCACAU
Long non-coding RNA from Rhipicephalus microplus (southern cattle tick), 268 nucleotides. RefSeq lists it as uncharacterized. Lineage: Eukaryota; Metazoa; Arthropoda; Arachnida; Ixodida; Ixodidae. The record is from RefSeq and is a predicted model, not a curated record.